Molecule: long non-coding RNA, 377 nt
Organism: Physeter macrocephalus (sperm whale)
Lineage: Eukaryota; Metazoa; Chordata; Mammalia; Artiodactyla; Physeteridae
Exons: 3
Source: RefSeq, a predicted model, not a curated record
GAUGUGUCCCUGAAGGGGAUGUAAAUUACUGUGUUCUGUUGGGUGAAUAGGGAAACAGCUUUUUCAAGCUGUGUGUUUAAAAUCAGAAAUCUAGAUGGUGACUGCUUAAAGUUGAAAAGCAUGAUGCCAAGUAACCAGGAGCAGCAGUUAUAUUUUCAGAGCAACUAGGCCCGUGAGCCACAACUACUGAGCCUGCGCGUCUGCAGCCUGUGCUCCGCAACGGGAGGGGCCGCGAUAGUGAGAGGCCCCCGCUCGCCGCAACUAGAGAAAGCCCUCGCACAGAAACGAAGACCCAACACAGCCAUAAAUAAAUAAUUUUUUAAAAAAUGAGUUUUCAUCAGAAGUUAAUUUUGCUGUAAGAGUCAUUCCAAAAUAGU